UUAUUUAUCACUUGGGAUGGAAGUAGCCUCACACCAGAGCGCUUGAGAGAGAGAGUUGCGUCAACUCUGUUCACUCCAAUCACCAGCUUUUUACAGCAAUGGCGGAUCGUGGAGCCUCUCAGUAGUUCCCAGAAGUUAGCAUUAUAUACUGGCAGAGCACUAGAAUUACAGCAGAACAGACUUUUUUUGUGAUGUACUUUUAAAAGAGGUGCAAUGUGGUGCAGGGGGCCUCCUCUUUUUGACCAAAGGACGAUGCACAAAGAUGGUGUGAAUAACAAUUGGUCUCCGCCUAGUCUUGGCCUUUUUGGCCAAGAACUGGUCUGCUUCAAAAUGCAGAGUGACUUGAGUUUACUCCCUACACACAACUCUGUUUUAUCUACCCACAUACAGUACAUGUCCCAUAGUGGUUAAAUGCACAGUAUUAGGGAACACUUUAUACAUAGUUAAAACCAACCAAGAACAUGAGACAACAGCCUGAAGACUCUCUGCAAUGAGACAGCACCCUCACCAUGAGUCUCAGCUUUGUGGGGUUUGCAAGUCUUUCGCUGUUCCUUAUUUUUUAAUAAAACUAACAUUAAACUUCCCCAUGGUGCGGUCUUUGUGAGAAAGUGCAAGUAGACUUCAGUAUGAUUACCUCACAAAUAUGUUUGGUGUUUUAAUGUUUUAUUAUAUUUAAAUUGCUCCUGCUCAUUUGAGCCAACCAUUGUCCUCCUCUCCGUGUCAGUGGGGGCACCAUCCAUUCAUGCUCCUUUCUCUGAUCAAUUGGAGCAUCCACAUGCAGCACAGCAAACCACAGUGGACACUAUACAAGGACAACAUGCAGGAAAAGACAGACAAAGCUUGACAUGCUUUUCAGUUUAUUAGAAAUGUAUUUAUAAAUCCAUUGCUGUAAAUAAGCGUAUAGUAAAAGUCAAAAAUACAUACCUAUAUAUGAUUGUGUAUGAACACGUUGUUUUAAGUUGUUUUUAAGUUGAAUGUAUUAUUUAUGAAUGUAUAUUUAAAUA
Ictalurus punctatus (channel catfish) is the source of this 1004-nucleotide long non-coding RNA. The record is from Ensembl. NCBI's taxonomy places the organism in Eukaryota, Metazoa, Chordata, Actinopteri, Siluriformes, Ictaluridae.